Small nuclear RNA from Onychostoma macrolepis, 116 nucleotides. RefSeq annotates it as U5 spliceosomal RNA. The record is from RefSeq and is a predicted model, not a curated record. NCBI's taxonomy places the organism in Eukaryota, Metazoa, Chordata, Actinopteri, Cypriniformes, Cyprinidae. The transcript has a single exon.
UAGCUCGGGUUUCUCUUCAUUGUCGCAUAAAUCUUUCGCCUUUUACUAAAGAUUUCCGUGGAGGGGAACCUUUGCGAGUGAUCUGUAUUUUUGGGGGCUCUGCUCACAGCAGAGCU